UACAGGGGGGGCAAGCGUUGUUCGGAAUUACUGGGCGUAAAGGGCUCGUAGGUGGCCAACUAAGUCAGACGUGAAAUCCCUCAGCUUAACUGGGGAACUGCGUCUGAUACUGGAUGGCUUGAGUUUGGGAGAGGGAUGCGGAAUUCCAGGUGUAGCGGUGAGAUGCGUAGAUAUCUGGAGGAACACCGGUGGCGAAGGCGGCAUCCUGGACCAACACUGACACUGAGGAGCGAAAGCCAGGGGAGCAAACGGG
Molecule: ribosomal RNA, 253 nt
Filed under: uncultured bacterium
Lineage: Bacteria
Description: partial 16S ribosomal RNA
Rfam family: Bacterial small subunit ribosomal RNA
Source: RNAcentral